GCUUGUAUUCAUGGACGUCGGUUAAAUCAUCGACGUUAAAGUUAACGACCGUUGGUUAGGGAACCAACGGUUAAAUCCUAACCGACGUUAAAACUAGCGGCACAUUCAUGGGAGAGAAAGCAUGCUGGGUUACCAAACCGACGGUCUAUUUUAGGCACUCAGGGUAUCCCCGUCACUGCGCAUGCGUUAACAGGGCGAGUACGUAGAAACCAAUAUGGCGUCAAACCAAGCUACAAAAAUACGGAAGGCAAAUUGUUCUCACAACAAGGUGAUGAUGCUGGAGAACACUCUUAAAAUAGAAAAAUAAGUAUGUAGAACCUAUGUUCAGAUUUGUGUCGUCGCUGGGAGCCGCAACACGUACCAGCGAUGAAGUGCGGGGUAAAGUUUUCACUUUGAAACGGGAACAUCGAGCGCGAGCAUCAGCAACGAACAAAACGGGCAAGUGAGGGGCUGCCACAAAACCCUAUGACGACGUACAUCCUCGAUGCCAUUGUUGGGAAAGACAAAGCUAAUCAUGGGGUGAAAGGUGGUGGGCAUAUUUAAGGAAAGCCAGACUGCUGCAUGUAGUGAAUCAGUCCUUGACACAGCUGCGUAGUAAGGAUGGUAUGGUUGAUACAGGCCGCAUCAGGCAUCGGGCAAAAUUUUGGGAGUCUUCAGAAGCAUAUCAAACAGUUGAGGUGCAGACCCAACACCAACCACCGACAAUAUCUUAGCAGCCACUGAAUGAUAUUGAUGAAAUACAGAUCCCACCACAUCAGACACCAGUGGAACCAAAGCAAAAGACAAAGCAAAGCUGGAAAGACCUAAAUAAACAAAUGCCACUCCAGAGAAAGCUGAAGAAAAGGCAGAGUACAGGAACUAGAGAAACCACUUUGUGGUCUGCAUAUUGAACACACUAAAUAGACACAAGACUGAACUUAUAAAGCUGAAAAUAAUGAAACUGAAAAAUGAGAUGAAAAUUAGUCACGCAGCAGAUGCAUGUGCACCUGCAAAAUAAAAAUUACUGCAAACUAUUCUUGUUUCAAUUUGUCCGUAUACUGCAUUUGUGUGAGUACCUUAAAAGUGCAUGUUGAUCACUCUCUGUCUCUUGUACAUGUUGAUCACUCUGUCUCUUAGCUUUUUCUGUGGCUAUGUACGUGCCUGUUCAGAUGCAGGUUGAGCCACUGAGCACUGUUGUGCAAUAUAAAACAUACUGUGAUCACAUCACAGGCUUUUGCAGAGGAUGACCAAAGCUUUGUACGGCAGCUCCAUCUCCUCUUGCACAC
Molecule: long non-coding RNA, 1265 nt
Organism: Pomacea canaliculata
Lineage: Eukaryota; Metazoa; Mollusca; Gastropoda; Architaenioglossa; Ampullariidae
Exons: 4
Source: RefSeq, a predicted model, not a curated record